CAGUAGCCGCGGGAAUACGUAGGUGGCAAGCAUUGUCCGGAAUUAUUGGGCGUAAAGGGCUCGCAGGCGGUUUCUUAAGUCUGAUGUGAAAGCCCCCGGCUCAACCGGGGAGGGUCAUUGGAAACUGGGAAACUUGGGUGCAGAAGAGGAGAGUGGAAUUCCACGUGUAGCGGUGAAAUGCAUAGAGAUGUGGAGGAACACCAGUGGCGAAGGCGACUCUCUGGUCUAUAACUGACGCUGAGGUGCGAAAGCGUGGGGAGCGAACAGGAUUAGAUACCCCAGUAGUCCCUGUCUCUUAUAC
RNAcentral lists this ribosomal RNA (301 nucleotides) under uncultured bacterium. RNAcentral's name for it is "partial 16S ribosomal RNA". It matches the Rfam family "Bacterial small subunit ribosomal RNA", at positions 509 to 807 of the family's 1533-position model. The record is from RNAcentral.